Molecule: ribosomal RNA, 196 nt
Filed under: uncultured bacterium
Lineage: Bacteria
Description: partial 16S ribosomal RNA
Rfam family: Bacterial small subunit ribosomal RNA
Source: RNAcentral
CUGCAACUCGCCUACAUGAAGUUGGAAUCGCUAGUAAUCGCGAAUCAGAAUGUCGCGGUGAAUACGUUCCCGGGUCUUGUACACACCGCCCGUCACACCACGAGAGUUUACAACACCCGAAGUCAGUGGCCUAACGGCAAGGAGGGAGCUGCCUAAGGUGGGGUAAAUGAUUGGGGUGAAGUCGUAACAAGGUACC